AUGGCUCCCUUCGGCGGGGAAGGAGCUACCACCCUCCCUCCCCACCAGCCACCCAGGCCUUUUGUUUCUUUUUCAAACCACACGAAAAGGAGACACGAAAUUCAGCUGCAGACCUGCCUGGGUCAGGACGAGUGCAGGCAGCUCUCGCCAACACCCUCAACGCACCUCUGGGUGCACACAGCUUUUGGGGAGGGGGUGCAUUAUUUGCUCCCGUGGCUGAGAAGUCCCGCUGGAGACAGGCUUCAUCUGCCAGCGCAGCUCCGCAGCAGCAAAGCCUGGCUUCUCCCCCUGGCCAGCACGCACGCAGACACCUCGCUGCCUCGCUGCCGGCUGGCUUCUGGGGGCAGCGGAGCUGCGGGAAGCAGCGCCCAGCGCCCACCCGCACCCUGCCCGCACCCCCGCCCGGCCCGGGGGCCCUGCAGGGCAGCGGGCUCGGGCGGGAGGGCAGGGGGGGUCCGGCCAACAAGUGCCCGCUGCGGGGUGGGCGCCGCGAAAUGGAGCCGGGCUCCCAGGGCGCCUCGUCCCGCCCGGCACCCGCAGCGCGCAGGGGACGGGCGAGGGCACAGCCGGGGACAGCGCGGGGCGAGCAGCAGCCGCCCGCACCCCCCACCCCCCACCCCAGCAGCAGCAGGUGCAGCGCCCCCAGCCCACGCGUGCCCGUGGGUGGGGGUCUCCCCGCCGCAGGCCCCGGCACCCACCUCGGCUCGGCUCGGCGGCUGCAGCCGCCCUGCUCCUGCUCCGGCUCCGGCUGCGGCUGCGGCUCCUGCGGCCCCGCUGCGAGCCCUGACCCCGCGCCGGGCGCUGCUCUACCUGCGGCGGCGCGGAGCCGAGCGGGGCUGGGCCGGGCCGGGCUGCCGGGGACGGGGGGGGGCUGCCCGCAUCGCCCGGCCCCCGCCCGCCUCGGCGCCUCCCCGCCGCGGGCUGGGCCCCCGCGGCCCCCUCCUCCCGGCGGCGAGGAGGAGGAGGAGGAGGAGGAGGGGGAGGAAGGAGGAGGGCCGGGUGCCCGCGUGUAACAAGUUUGGGUUGCCCCGCAGUAUGGCGGCCGGCCGGGCUGUGGUUGUGAUCCCCCUGUAG
This 1074-nucleotide long non-coding RNA is filed under the name Cairina moschata (Muscovy duck). RNAcentral describes it as "domestica (muscovy Duck (domestic type)) lncRNA (ENSCMMG00000009763.1)". Lineage: Eukaryota; Metazoa; Chordata; Aves; Anseriformes; Anatidae. The record is from RNAcentral.